Long non-coding RNA from Mus musculus (house mouse), 933 nucleotides. RefSeq annotates it as predicted gene, 52573. Lineage: Eukaryota; Metazoa; Chordata; Mammalia; Rodentia; Muridae. The transcript has 2 exons. The record is from RefSeq and is a predicted model, not a curated record.
UUAGAUAAACAGGUGUUUUCACGUUUGAGGAAACAGAUGGUAGUUAAAUUAAUAUGGCUCCCAUAGACUCAUAGGUUUGUAUACAUGUUUCCUAGUUUGUGGAACUGUUUGGGAAGGAACACAGGUCUGCCUUUUUUGGAAGAGGUGCAACACUUGGGUGCAUUUUCAGGCUUUAAUCUCUUCUGAACACGUCCAUAUUGCAAGCUCCCACUUUCGUGGAGUUCAAAAUAUGAGUUCUCACCUUUCCCUUGAUUUACAGCUAAGACCUUGUAAUCCAAGAGGAACUUUCCAGAUGCAUUUAUGUCCAACAUUUUUAUAAUUUAUGGAUGAUUCUGGAUGACUAUGAGCUUGUCCUUCUUUUCUACUUUGAUAGUAGAUCAAGAUGUAAUGUCUACCUACUAAGGCAACUCCAUGCAACCUACUGAUUGCCACAUUUCCUGCCAUUAUGAUCCUUUGGUUUGGUUUUGUUAAAAACAACAACAACAACUUCCCAGACAUUCAGUUUUACCAAUGAAGACUGAGGAGGCUGAUGAAGUUGUGAAUGCCUUCAAGACCAGAGAGGCAGAGAAAGAACCAAGCUUAACUUCCUCAACUGACUUUCCAGAGGAAAAGGGCCCUUUCCCCUCCUCCAAACUGUGCUAAAUACUCUUCAACUAAUGCCUUUCCUUUCCACAUCCUGUGUUCAUUUCCUCUCAACUGGCAACUUGCUUACAUAUUAACCUAUGGUCUACUUUAUUUACUCCUGUUUACAGAAAGCUCUUACUUAGUAUUAAAGUUGUAUGCUAGAGCUGAGCCACAGCACAACAAGAAACAAGUAUUUUUCACAAUCUUGAGGUUCACCAUGUGAUUGAAUAUCCUCCAACAAUGGCCACAAACACUUAUUGUAUUUACCUUGAAAGUAUAAGUCCCCAAUAAACAUUUCUUUAUGUUGCU